GACGAACGCUGGCGGCGUGCUUAACACAUGCAAGUCGAACGGUAAGGCCCUUCGGGGUACACGAGUGGCGAACGGGUGAGUAACACGUGGGUGAUCUGCCCUGCACUUCGGGAUAAGCCUGGGAAACUGGGUCAAAUACCGGAUGGGACUCGGGACUGCAGGGUCAGGGGUGGAAAGCUUUGGCGGUGUGGGAUGGGCCGGCGGCCUAUCAGCUUGUUGGUGGGGUGAGGGCUUGCCAAGGCGACGACGGGUAGCGGAGCUGAGAGGGUGACCGGCCACACUGGGACUGAGAUACGGCCCAGACUACUACGGGAGGCAGCAGUGGGGAAUAUUGCACAAUGGGCGCAAGCCUGAUGCAGCGACGCCGCGUGAGGGAUGACGGCCUUCGGGUUGUAAACCUCUUUCAGCAUCGACGAAGCGAAAGUGACGGUAGGUGCAGAAGAAGGACCGGCCAACUACGUGCCAGCAGCCGCGGUAA
This 478-nucleotide ribosomal RNA is filed under the name uncultured bacterium. Its description in RNAcentral is "partial 16S ribosomal RNA". It matches the Rfam family "Bacterial small subunit ribosomal RNA", at positions 28 to 523 of the family's 1533-position model. The record is from RNAcentral.